CGAUUGCCAAUGGAACAACUAUCAACCAGAUAUCAAAUGUUGUGGAUUAAAGCCUGAUUCAAAUAGUGUACUAGGAACUGUAAAAGGCCAAUAUUCCAAAGCAUCUAUAAUGAAAAAGAGAAAACCAAAUUCCUGAUUUAAAUGUAAACAUGCAAAAUACCAUGUUUGUAAUGUAAUUACUUUUUAGCAUUAGAAAUAAACAAACAAA
RNAcentral lists this long non-coding RNA (208 nucleotides) under Mytilus galloprovincialis (Mediterranean mussel). The record is from RNAcentral. Lineage: Eukaryota; Metazoa; Mollusca; Bivalvia; Mytilida; Mytilidae.